AUGAUCCAGAAGAAACUGUUAGACACUCUCUGCUGUGCUGCUGAUUCUCCUGCUACCCCAGUGCUCCAAAUUCUGCUCCGGUCCCUUCCUGAAACCCUCCAGCACCUGCAGUCCUCCAGCUCAGUCAUCUUCAUCCUCUGGCUCCUGCUCUGUUACGACUCUGGUUUUGUUGACGGGAGUGAUGUCACCCAGACCCCCUUGGUGUGGAAAAAUAAGGGUGAAAAUGCAACGAUAUCCUGCAGCCACACCAAGGGCGAUUUAUACUUCCAGAUGUACUGGUACAGACAGCUGCCAGGAGAAACUAUGAAACUCAUUGUCUUCACCACCACAGGCGGGAGCAAGCACGACUUUGGAAGUUUCAGCAAAGAGAAAUUUUCAGCCACCAAAACUGUUGCUCAGAGUGGAACGUUUACCGUGAAGAACCUGGAGCCAAAAGACGAAGGCCUGUAUUUCUGUGCUGUGAGUCAACACAUUACAGUCAUUAGGUGGCAGCAAGUCUUCAGCCAGAUCUUCACACUGAACCUGUUCCAUGAGGCGCUGGUGACAUGA
Non-coding RNA from Fundulus heteroclitus (mummichog), 549 nucleotides. The record is from the annotation of a RefSeq genome assembly. NCBI's taxonomy places the organism in Eukaryota, Metazoa, Chordata, Actinopteri, Cyprinodontiformes, Fundulidae.